RNAcentral lists this ribosomal RNA (811 nucleotides) under uncultured bacterium. RNAcentral's name for it is "bacterial SSU rRNA". It matches the Rfam family "Bacterial small subunit ribosomal RNA", at positions 648 to 1470 of the family's 1533-position model. The record is from RNAcentral.
AUGAUAGAGGAAAGCAGAAUUUCUAGUGUAGAGGUGAAAUUCGUAGAUAUUAGAAAGAAUACCAAUUGCGAAGGCAGCUUUCUGGAUCAUUACUGACACUGAGGAACGAAAGCAUGGGUAGCGAAGAGGAUUAGAUACCCUCGUAGUCCAUGCCGUAAACGAUGUGUGUUAGACGUUGGAAAUUUAUUUUCAGUGUCGCAGCGAAAGCGAUAAACACACCGCCUGGGGAGUACGACCGCAAGGUUAAAACUCAAAUGAAUUGACGGGGACCCGCACAAGUAGUGGAGCAUGUGGUUUAAUUCGAAGAUACGCGCAGAACCUUACCAACACUUGACAUGUUCGUCGCGACUUUAAGAGAUUAAAGUUUUCGGUUCGGCCGGACGAAACACAGGUGCUGCAUGGCUGUCGUCAGCUCGUGUCGUGAGAUGUUGGGUUAAGUCCCGCAACGAGCGCAACCCUCACUUUUAGUUGCCAUCAUUAAGUUGGGCACUCUGAAAGAACUGCCAGUGAUAAGCUGGAGGAAGGUGGGGAUGACGUCAAGUCCUCAUGGCCCUUACGUGUUGGGCUACACACGUGCUACAAUGGUAUCUACAACAGGAAGCAAAACCGCGAGGUUAAGCAAAUCCUUAAAAGAUACCUCAGUUCGGAUUGCACUCUGCAACUCGAGUGCAUGAAGCUGGAAUUACUAGUAAUCGUGGAUCAGCGUGCCACGGUGAAUGCGUUCCCGGGUCUUGUACACACCGCCCGUCGCACCAUGGGAGUUGGUUCUACGUUAAGGCAAGGUUUCAAACCCUUGACCACGGUAUAGUCA